This 436-nucleotide ribosomal RNA is filed under the name uncultured Oscillospiraceae bacterium. RNAcentral's name for it is "partial 16S ribosomal RNA". It matches the Rfam family "Bacterial small subunit ribosomal RNA", at positions 341 to 792 of the family's 1533-position model. The record is from RNAcentral. Lineage: Bacteria; Bacillati; Bacillota; Clostridia; Eubacteriales; Oscillospiraceae.
ACGGAAGGCAGCAGUGGGGAAUAUUGGGCAAUGGGGGAAACCCUGACCCAGCAACGCCGCGUGAAGGAAGAAGGCCUUCGGGUUGUAAACUUCUUUUAGUAGGGACGAAUAAAUGACGGUACCUACAGAAAAAGCAACGGCUAACUACGUGCCAGCAGCCGCGGUAAUACGUAGGUUGCAAGCGUUGUCCGGAUUUACUGGGUGUAAAGGGCGUGUAGGCGGAGCUGCAAGUCAGAUGUGAAAUCCCGGGGCUGAACCCCGGAACUGCAUUUGAAACUGUAGCCCUUGAGUAUCGGAGAGGCAAGCGGAAUUCCUAGUGUAGCGGUGAAAUGCGUAGAUAUUAGGAGGAACACCAGUGGCGAAGGCGGCUUGCUGGACGACAACUGACGCUGAGGCGCGAAAGCGUGGGGAGCAAACAGGAUUAGAUACCCUGGUA